CUGCGGCAGCGAACGUAUCACCCAAGACAACUUUGCGGAGUUGACGAUUGACGGAGCGAAGCGACGUCAAAGCGUUCAUUAAAGUCGAGUUGGCUUAGGGAUACGUUCGUUGGGUAGGGGAGCGUUCUGUAAGCCAGUGAAGGUGUGUCGUGAGGCAUGCUGGAGGUAUCAGAAGUGCGAAUGCUGACAUAAGUAACGAUAAAGCGGGUGAAAAGCCCGCUCGCCGGAAGACCAAGGGUUCCUGUCCAACGUUAAUCGGGGCAGGGUGAGUCGACCCCUAAGGCGAGGCCGAAAGGCGUAGUCGAUGGGAAACGGGUUAAUAUUCCCGUACUUGGUGUUACUGCGAAGGGGGGACGGAGAAGGCUAUGUUGGCCGGGCGACGGUUGUCCCGGUUUAAGCGUGUAGGUGUGUGUUCCAGGUAAAUCCGGUUCACUUUAACACUGAGGCGUGACGACGAGGCACUACGGUGCUGAAGCAACAAAUGCCCUGCUUCCAGGAAAAGCCUCUAAGCAUCAGGUAACAUCAAAUCGUACCCCAAACCGACACAGGUGGUCAGGUAGAGAAUACCAAGGCGCUUGAGAGAACUCGGGUGAAGGAACUAGGCAAAAUGGUGCCGUAACUUCGGGAGAAGGCACGCUGACACGUAGGUGAAGUGAUUUACUCAUGGAGCUGAAGUCAGUCGAAGAUACCAGCUGGCUGCAACUGUUUAUUAAAAACACAGCACUGUGCAAACACGAAAGUGGACGUAUACGGUGUGACGCCUGCCCGGUGCCGGAAGGUUAAUUGAUGGGGUCAGCGCAAGCGAAGCUCCUGAUCGAAGCCCCGGUAAACGGCGGCCGUAACUAUAACGGUCCUAAGGUAGCGAAAUUCCUUGUCGGGUAAGUUCCGACCUGCACGAAUGGCGUAAUGAUGGCCAGGCUGUCUCCACCCGAGACUCAGUGAAAUUGAACUCGCUGUGAAGAUGCAGUGUACCCGCGGCAAGACGGAAAGACCCCGUGAACCUUUACUAUAGCUUGACACUGAACAUUGAGCCUUGAUGUGUAGGAUAGGUGGGAGGCUUUGAAGUGUGGACGCCAGUCUGCAUGGAGCCGACCUUGAAAUACCACCCUUUAAUGUUUGAUGUUCUAACGUGGACCCGUGAUCCGGGUUGCGGACAGUGUCUGGUGGGUAGUUUGACUGGGGCGGUCUCCUCCUAAAGAGUAACGGAGGAGCACGAAGGUUGGCUAAUCCUGGUCGGACAUCAGGAGGUUAGUGCAAUGGCAUAAGCCAGCUUGACUGCGAGCGUGACGGCGCGAGCAGGUGCGAAAGCAGGUCAUAGUGAUCCGGUGGUUCUGAAUGGAAGGGCCAUCGCUCAACGGAUAAAAGGUACUCCGGGGAUAACAGGCUGAUACCGCCCAAGAGUUCAUAUCGACGGCGGUGUUUGGCACCUCGAUGUCGGCUCAUCACAUCCUGGGGCUGAAGUAGGUCCCAAGGGUAUGGCUGUUCGCCAUUUAAAGUGGUACGCGAGCUGGGUUUAGAACGUCGUGAGACAGUUCGGUCCCUAUCUGCCGUGGGCGCUGGAGAACUGAGGGGGGCUGCUCCUAGUACGAGAGGACCGGAGUGGACGCAUCACUGGUGUUCGGGUUGUCAUGCCAAUGGCACUGCCCGGUAGCUAAAUGCGGAAGAGAUAAGUGCUGAAAGCAUCUAAGCACGAAACUUGCCCCGA
This 1705-nucleotide ribosomal RNA is filed under the name Salmonella enterica subsp. enterica serovar Paratyphi B. Its description in RNAcentral is "partial 23S ribosomal RNA". It matches the Rfam family "Bacterial large subunit ribosomal RNA", at positions 1200 to 2802 of the family's 2925-position model. The record is from RNAcentral. Lineage: Bacteria; Pseudomonadati; Pseudomonadota; Gammaproteobacteria; Enterobacterales; Enterobacteriaceae.